RNAcentral lists this ribosomal RNA (253 nucleotides) under uncultured bacterium. RNAcentral's name for it is "partial 16S ribosomal RNA". It matches the Rfam family "Bacterial small subunit ribosomal RNA", at positions 524 to 776 of the family's 1533-position model. The record is from RNAcentral.
UACGUAGGGUGCGAGCGUUGUCCGGAAUUAUUGGGCGUAAAGAGCUUGUAGGCGGUUUGUCGCGUCUGCUGUGAAAAUCCGGGGCUCAACCCCGGACUUGCAGUGGGUACGGGCAGACUAGAGUGUGGUAGGGGAGACUGGAAUUCCUGGUGUAGCGGUGAAAUGCGCAGAUAUCGGGAGGAACACCGGUGGCGAAGGCGGUUCUCUGGGCCUGUACUGACGCUGAGGAGCGAAAGCGUGGGGAGCAAACAGG